RNAcentral lists this ribosomal RNA (376 nucleotides) under uncultured bacterium. Its description in RNAcentral is "bacterial SSU rRNA". It matches the Rfam family "Bacterial small subunit ribosomal RNA", at positions 524 to 898 of the family's 1533-position model. The record is from RNAcentral.
CACGUAGGGGGCGAGCGUUGUCCGGAAUUACUGGGCGUAAAGCGCGCGUAGGCGGAUUAUUAAGUCAGAUGUGAAAACUCUGGGCUCAACCGAGAGGUUGCAUCUGAUACUGGUAAUCUUGAGUGUAGAAGAGGAGAGUGGAAUUCCUAGUGUAGCGGUGAAAUGCGUAGAUAUUAGGAGGAACACCAGUGGCGAAGGCGACUCUCUGGUCUAUAACUGACGCUGAGGCGCGAAAGCGUGGGGAGCAAACAGGAUUAGAUACCCUGGUAGUCCACGCCGUAAACGAUGGGUACUAGGUGUUGGGGGUUUCGACGCCCUCAGUGCCGGAGUUAACGCAAUAAGUACCCCGCCUGGGGAGUACGUUCGCAAGAAUGAA